This 484-nucleotide ribosomal RNA is filed under the name uncultured bacterium. RNAcentral describes it as "partial 16S ribosomal RNA". It matches the Rfam family "Bacterial small subunit ribosomal RNA", at positions 30 to 507 of the family's 1533-position model. The record is from RNAcentral.
AUUGAACGCUGGCGGCAGGCCUAACACAUGCAAGUCGAGCGGAUGAAGGGAGCUUGCUCCUGGAUUCAGCGGCGGACGGGUGAGUAAUGCCUAGGAAUCUGCCUGGGAGUGGGGGAUAACGUCCGGAAACGGGCGCUAAUACCGCAUACGUCCUGAGGGAGAAAGGGGGGGAUCUUCGGAUCUCACGCUAUCAGAUGAGCCUAGGUCGGAUUAGCUAGUUGGUGGGGUAAAGGCCUACCAAGGCGACGAUCCGUAACUGGUCUGAGAGGAUGAUCAGUCACACUGGAACUGAGACACGGUCCAGACUCCUACGGGAGGCAGCAGUGGGGAAUAUUGGACAAUGGGCGAAAGCCUGAUCCAGCCAUGCCGCGUGUGUGAAGAAGGUCUUCGGAUUGUAAAGCACUUUAAGUUGGGAGGAAGGGCAGUAAGUUAAUACCUUGCUGUUUUGACGUUACCAACAGAAUAAGCACCGGCUAACUUCGUG